Molecule: ribosomal RNA, 520 nt
Filed under: uncultured bacterium
Lineage: Bacteria
Description: bacterial SSU rRNA
Rfam family: Bacterial small subunit ribosomal RNA
Source: RNAcentral
GACACCUCCUGGAAACGGGGAUUAAUACCGCAUAAUAUGCCGAGGUCGCAUGACUUUGGUAUUAAAGCAGCAAUGCACUUAGAGAUGAGUGUGCGUCCCAUUAGGUAGUUGGUGAGGUAACGGCUCACCAAGCCUAUGAUGGGUAGCCGGUCUGAGAGGAUGGUCGGCCACACGGGCACUGAGACACGGGGCCCCGACUCCUACGGGAGGCAGCAGUAAGGAUAUUGGUCAAUGGUGGAAACACUGAACCAGCCAUGCCGCGUGGAGGAAUAAUGUCCUACGGAUUGUAAACUCCUUUUGACGAGGAAGAAAGUGUUAGAUUUAUCUAAUUUUGACGGUACUCGUAGAAUAAGCACCGGCUAACUCCGUGCCAGCAGCCGCGGUAAUACGGAGGGUGCAAGCGUUAUCCGGAUUUACUGGGUUUAAAGGGUCCGCAGGUGGGGAGGUAAGUCAGUGGUGAAAUACCCGGGCUCAACUUGGGUGCUGCCAUUGAUACUGCUUUUCUUGAGUGUAGAUGAGU